Molecule: ribosomal RNA, 477 nt
Filed under: uncultured bacterium
Lineage: Bacteria
Description: bacterial SSU rRNA
Rfam family: Bacterial small subunit ribosomal RNA
Source: RNAcentral
AUUGAACGCUGGCGGCAUGCCUUACACAUGCAAGUCGAACGGCAGCACGGGAGCAAUCCUGGUGGCGAGUGGCGAACGGGUGAGUAAUGCAUCGGAACGUGCCAUUGAGUGGGGGAUAACGUAGCGAAAGUUACGCUAAUACCGCAUAUUCUGUGCGCAGGAAAGCAGGGGGAUCGCAAGACCUUGCGCUCUUUGAGCGGCCGAUGUCAGAUUAGCUAGUUGGUGAGGUAAAGGCUCACCAAGGCGACGAUCUGUAGCGGGUCUGAGAGGAUGAUCCGCCACACUGGGACUGAGACACGGCCCAGACUCCUACGGGAGGCAGCAGUGGGGAAUUUUGGACAAUGGGGGCAACCCUGAUCCAGCCAUGCCGCGUGAGUGAAGAAGCCUCGGUGUAAGUCUUCGCGGAGAAUCGCACAGUAAUACCUGUGUGGAGUGACGGUACCGGACGUAAGAAGACGACCGGCCGUAACUACGUCG